UACGAAGGGGGCUAGCGUUGUUCGGAUUUACUGGGCGUAAAGCGCACGUAGGCGGAUAUUUAAGUCAGGGGUGAAAUCCCAGAGCUCAACUCUGGAACUGCCUUUGAUACUGGGUAUCUUGAGUAUGGAAGAGGUAAGUGGAAUUGCGAGUGUAGAGGUGAAAUUCGUAGAUAUUCGCAGGAACACCAGUGGCGAAGGCGGCUUACUGGUCCAUAACUGACGCUGAGGUGGCGAAAGCGUGGGGAGCAACAGG
Molecule: ribosomal RNA, 253 nt
Filed under: uncultured bacterium
Lineage: Bacteria
Description: partial 16S ribosomal RNA
Rfam family: Bacterial small subunit ribosomal RNA
Source: RNAcentral